AGCAGAGCACUGUUGUUUUUCCCAAGGGGAAUCCCAUACCUAGUGUUAAGGCUCUUACGUUUUAUAGGUCUGGCACAUUUAGUGUUGAUGUACACUAUGCUGAUUCUGAUCAGCAAGCUAAGAUCAGUACAUAUACGAUCGGUCCUUUUCAAUCUUCUAAAGGUGGAAGAGCAAAGGUGAAGGUGAAGGUUCGACUUAAUUUGCAUGGAAUUGUUUCUGUUGAAUCAGCGACACUGUUAGAAGAGGAGGAUGUAGAGAUUCCAGUCACCAGGGAACAAUCAGCUAAAAUGGAGACCGACGAAGCUCCUGCUGAUGCUGCUGCUCCUCCCAGUUCUAAUGAGAACGAUGUUAACAUGCAAGAUG
RNAcentral lists this unclassified non-coding RNA (363 nucleotides) under Hevea brasiliensis (rubber tree). Lineage: Eukaryota; Viridiplantae; Streptophyta; Magnoliopsida; Malpighiales; Euphorbiaceae. The record is from RNAcentral.